CUACGGGAGGCAGCAGUGGGGAAUAUUGGACAAUGGGGGCAACCCUGAUCCAGCAAUGCCGCGUGUGUGAAGAAGGUCUUCGGAUUGUAAAGCACUUUCACUAGGGAAGAUGAUGACGGUACCUAGAGAAGAAGCCCCGGCUAACUUCGUGCCAGCAGCCGCGGUAAUACGAAGGGGGCUAGCGUUGCUCGGAAUGACUGGGCGUAAAGGGCGCGUAGGCUGUUUGUACAGUCAGAUGUGAAAUCCCCGGGCUUAACCUGGGAACUGCAUUUGAUACGUGCAGACUAGAGUCCGAGAGAGGGUUGUGGAAUUCCCAGUGUAGAGGUGAAAUUCGUAGAUAUUGGGAAGAACACCGGUUGCGAAGGCGGCAACCUGGCUCGGAACUGACGCUGAGGCGCGAAAGCGUGGGGAGCGAACAGGAUUAGAUACCCUGGUAGUCCACGCUGUAAACGAUGUGUGCUGGAUGUUGGGUGAUUUUAUCAUUCAGUGUCGGAGCUAACGCGUUAAGCACACCGCCUGGGGAGUACNGCCCGCAAGNUUAAACUCAAAGGAAUUGACGGGGGCCCGCACAAGCGGUG
RNAcentral lists this ribosomal RNA (578 nucleotides) under Acetobacteraceae bacterium AP26. RNAcentral describes it as "bacterial SSU rRNA". It matches the Rfam family "Bacterial small subunit ribosomal RNA", at positions 339 to 934 of the family's 1533-position model. The record is from RNAcentral. Lineage: Bacteria; Pseudomonadati; Pseudomonadota; Alphaproteobacteria; Acetobacterales; Acetobacteraceae.